UACGGGGGGGGCAAGCGUUGUUCGGAAUUACUGGGCGUAAAGGGCGCGUAGGUGGCCAACUAAGUCAGACGUGAAAUCCCUCGGCUUAACCGGGGAACUGCGUCUGAUACUGGAUGGCUUGAGUUUGGGAGAGGGACGCGGAAUUCCGGGUGUAGCGGUGGAAUGCGUAGAGAUCCGGAAGAACACCGGUGGCGAAGGCGGCCUGCUGGGCAGUUGCUGACACUGAGGCGCGACAGCGUGGGGAGCAAACAGG
RNAcentral lists this ribosomal RNA (253 nucleotides) under uncultured bacterium. RNAcentral's name for it is "partial 16S ribosomal RNA". It matches the Rfam family "Bacterial small subunit ribosomal RNA", at positions 524 to 776 of the family's 1533-position model. The record is from RNAcentral.